RNAcentral lists this long non-coding RNA (527 nucleotides) under Chinchilla lanigera (long-tailed chinchilla). Its description in RNAcentral is "lncRNA (ENSCLAG00000026203.1)". Lineage: Eukaryota; Metazoa; Chordata; Mammalia; Rodentia; Chinchillidae. The record is from RNAcentral.
UGAAAUUUCACACAGUUUAUCACACAGUCUGGACACUGGUGAAAUGAUUAGAACCUGAGACCACCCCAGUCACAGCAGGACCCUUGGUUACCAUCGUAGCCAUGCUGUGUUGGCAGGCCCCAAACUCCCUGUGGUAGAUGGCCUUCCUGGUUAGAGGAGGCUUUCUGUUUACAGCAUGUGCAUCCCAGCUAGCAACUCACAUGGGUGGCCUUCCUGGGAGAGAAAGGAGGAAGCGUGCAGAGCAAAGGAAAUAUUCGACUAAGCUGAAUGCUCCGGGAAGUGCAGCUGGUAACAUCCAGAGAAAAACCGAGUACCUGCAGCUUCUCCACAGGGUAAGGGAAUAUUUGGGUGAUAAUUUGUUGCAGGCCCAGAAAAUAACCAGUCCUGUGAGGUGGCACUGAGAGAGAAUCCUCGGGGGGUAGAUCUGAGCUGUGCUGGGCUGUAGCUCAUAGCAGAACACUGGCCCAGCAUGUGCAAGGGCCUAGCUGUAUUCUUGAGCACUGCAGAAAAAGAGAAGACAAAAUUGA